Molecule: ribosomal RNA, 463 nt
Filed under: uncultured bacterium
Lineage: Bacteria
Description: partial 16S ribosomal RNA
Rfam family: Bacterial small subunit ribosomal RNA
Source: RNAcentral
AGUGAGCGCUGGCGGCGUGCCUAAUACAUGCAAGUCGAACGAUGAAGUCCUAGCUUGCUCGGAUGGAUUAGUGGCGCACGGGUGAGUAAUAUAUAGUUAAUCUGCCCUACACAGAGGAACAACAGUUGGAAACGACUGCUAAUACCUCAUACUCCUAUUUGACAUAAGUUAAAUAGGGAAAGUCUUUUCGGUGUAGGAUGAGACUAUAUCGUAUCAGCUAGUUGGUAAGGUAAUGGCUUACCAAGGCUAUGACGCGUAACUGGUCUGAGAGGAUGAUCAGUCACAUUGGAACUGAGACACGGUCCAAACUCCUACGGGAGGCAGCAGUAAGGAAUAUUGCGCAAUGGGGGAAACCCUGACGCAGCAACGCCGCGUGGAGGAUGACACUUUUCGGAGCGUAAACUCCUUUUAUCAGGAAAGAAUAAUGACGGUACCUGAUGAAUAAGCACCGGCUAACUCCGUG